UAAAGCGUGCGCAGGCGGUUAUAUAAGACAGAUGUGAAAUCCCCGGGCUCAACCUGGGAACUGCAUUUGUGACUGUAUAGCUGGAGUGCGGCAGAGGGGGAUGGAAUUCCGCGUGUAGCAGUGAAAUGCGUAGAUAUGCGGAGGAACACCGAUGGCGAAGGCAAUCCCCUGGGCCUGCACUGACGCUCAUGCACGAAAGCGUGGGGAGCAAACAGGAUUAGAUACCGAGU
RNAcentral lists this ribosomal RNA (230 nucleotides) under uncultured bacterium. Its description in RNAcentral is "partial 16S ribosomal RNA". It matches the Rfam family "Bacterial small subunit ribosomal RNA", at positions 561 to 790 of the family's 1533-position model. The record is from RNAcentral.